CCUACGGGUGACAGCAGUGAGGAAUAUUGGUCAAUGGGCGCGAGCCUGAACCAGCCAAGUAGCGUGAAGGAUGACUGCCCUACGGGUUGUAAACUUCGUUUAUAAAGGAAUAAAGUGAGUCACGUGUUCCUCUUUGUAUUUACUUUAUGAAUAAGGAUCGGCUAACUCCGCGCCAGCAGCCGCGGUAAUACGGAGGAUCCGAGCGUUAUCCGGAUUUAUUGGGUUUAAAGGGAGCGUAGAUGGGUUGUUAAGUCAGUUGUGAAAGUUUGCGGCUCAACCGUAAAAUUGCAUUUGAUACUGGCAGUCUUGAGUACAGUUGAGGUAGGCGGAAUUCGUGGUGUAGCGGUGAAAUGCUUAGAUAUCACGAAGAACUCCGAUUGCGAAGGCAGCUUACUAAACUGCAACUGACAUUGAUGCUCGAAAGUGUGGGUAUCAAACAGGAUUAGAUACCCUAGUAGUC
This 460-nucleotide ribosomal RNA is filed under the name uncultured bacterium. RNAcentral's name for it is "partial 16S ribosomal RNA". It matches the Rfam family "Bacterial small subunit ribosomal RNA", at positions 338 to 795 of the family's 1533-position model. The record is from RNAcentral.